RNAcentral lists this long non-coding RNA (1324 nucleotides) under Rattus norvegicus (Norway rat). RNAcentral's name for it is "long non-coding RNA NONRATT000693". The stretch from base 1057 to 1125 matches the Rfam family "tRNA". The record is from RNAcentral. Lineage: Eukaryota; Metazoa; Chordata; Mammalia; Rodentia; Muridae.
ACAUAGGUGUAUAGCGCAUACACGCAUACACACGCACACACAUAGAUAAGUAAGUAAAUGUAAGUUUUAAGGAUGUUUUAAAACUUAAAACACGGCCCAGCGGCGGCAGCGCAUGCCUUUAAUCUCCAGCACUUGGGAGGCAGAGAUGGAUGGGUCUUUGAAUUCAAGGCCAGCCUGGUCUACAGACAGAGUUCCAACACAGCUACUACACAGAGAAACCCUGUCUCCAAAAACCCAAAACCAACCAAAAGUGUGCUCAGUGGCAGAGCUCUUUCUUACCUAGCAAGAGAGAGGGUGUGAGCACAGUCCCAAAGGAGCCAAUCAAGUGAGGGGGCAGAGUAAAAAGCAAACGGGGGUUGGGGCUGGAGAGGUGGCUCCGGGACUAAGAGCUUGUGGCUAUUUCAGAGAACUCCGAUUCAGUUCCAGCACCCACAUCGGGCACGCUAUAACUACCAGUAACUCCAGCUACAGGGGAUGUAACGCCCUCUUCUGGCACUCAUGCGCACACAGGCACACAAGUACACAUAUGAAAAGUAAAGUACAAGUAUUCUGUUUUUAUUAUGUGCAUGUAUGUGUGUGCACGUGAGCAUAGGUGGCCAAGGAGGCUGGCUGGUGGCUUCAGAUCCCCUGGUCCUGGAGUUAUGGCUGUCUGGGAGCUGCCUGACUGGGAGCUGAACUCACAUCCUUUGAAAGAUCACUGUGUGCUCUCAAGCACCAAGCUGAGUCCAGCCUUAAGAUUUGUUUUCCAGACCCAACCCCCAAAGCUGUGCUCUGGCCUCCACACACGUGAACACACUCACAACUCAAAUCCAGACAGGAUGAGACUUGGGUGGAGAAAUGACAGACCUUCUUCACAUCCAACUUGUUGGAAAGGAAAGCAAGAGGAUCUAUACGUAGAAUGUAAAGCUGUAAAACUCCUCCAAAUACACAGAAAGACCUAGGUCAUCUUGGGCUGGGAAUGACCUCAAAGCAAGAUAUACCAACAAAAGUACAGUCCUCAGAAGAGGGCUCGGGGCUAAAGAGAUGGCUUAGCAGUUAAGAGUACCAACUGGGGUUGGGGAUUUAGCUCAGUGGUAGAGCACUUGCCUAGCAAGCGCAAGGCCCUGGGUUCGGUCCCCAGCUCCGAAAAAAAAAAAAAGAAAAGAAAAAAAAAAGAGUACCAACUGCUCUCUUUUAGAGGUCCUGAGUUCAAGUCCCAGCAAUCAAAUGGCAUCUUACAAGCAUCUACAAUGGGAUCUGAUGCCCUCUUCUGGUGUGCAGGCACACAUGCAAGCAGAACACUUAUAUACAAAAAUAAAUAAAUUUAAAAAAAAAAAAACAAACA